GGGUCGUUAGCUCAGUCGGUAGAGCACCGGCCUUUUAAGCCGGGGGCCGCAGGUUCGAUUCCUGCACGACCCA
Molecule: transfer RNA, 73 nt
Filed under: Pseudomonadota bacterium
Lineage: Bacteria; Pseudomonadati; Pseudomonadota
Also listed under: 4 other names
Description: tRNA-Lys
Rfam family: tRNA
About the family: Transfer RNA (tRNA) molecules are approximately 80 nucleotides in length. Their secondary structure includes four short double-helical elements and three loops (D, anti-codon, and T loops).
Source: RNAcentral